Molecule: ribosomal RNA, 427 nt
Filed under: uncultured bacterium
Lineage: Bacteria
Description: bacterial SSU rRNA
Rfam family: Bacterial small subunit ribosomal RNA
Source: RNAcentral
UCGGGAAUUUUGGGCAAUGGGCGAAAGCCUGACCCAGCAACGCCGCGUGAAGGAUGAAAUCCCUCGGGAUGUAAACUUCAUAAGAACGGGAAGAAUAAGUCGGUGCCAACACCACCGGCGAUGACGGUACCGUUAGUAAGCUCCGGCUAACUCCGUGCCAGCAGCCGCGGUAAUACGGGGGGAGCAAGCGUUGUUCGGAUUUACUGGGCGUAAAGGGCGCGUAGGCGGCCACCGCAAGUCGACUGUGAAAUCUCCGGGCUUAACCCGGAAAGGUCAGCCGAUACUGCGGGGCUAGAGUGCAGAAGGGGCAACUGGAAUUCUCGGUGUAGCGGUGAAAUGCGUAGAUAUCGAGAGGAACACCUGCGGCGAAGGCGGGUUGCUGGGCUGACACUGACGCUGAGGCGCGAAAGCUAGGGGAGCGAACGGG